Molecule: long non-coding RNA, 840 nt
Filed under: Brassica napus (rape)
Lineage: Eukaryota; Viridiplantae; Streptophyta; Magnoliopsida; Brassicales; Brassicaceae
Description: long non-coding RNA (BNAP_LNC012586)
Source: RNAcentral
GACUUUUUGAACACAUUUCAUCCGGUUCUGUCCUUUUUCAUAACAGGUUUCCAGUUGCAAGUGAGAAAGUCGGUGAUGUCGUUCUUUUUGUACCGUGUUUAUAAUCACAUAUCAAACAUCCACGUCACAUGUUCAAUAACCACAUAUAUACACCAAAUGUUCUAUUCCGUAUCGCUGAAUAGUAUAAAAUUAUAACUCCACUCAUAACCCUAAAUACUAAACAUUAUCCCAACCCCUAUAUAUUGAACCCUAAAUCUCAAUCACUAUGCAACACCUAAGUACUAUACAUUACCCGAGCCCCAACAUCUAAAAAAAAUAAUAUCCGGUAAUAUACAUAUGCACGUAGUGUUCUAUUCCAUGUCACUGAAAUAGUAUAGGAGGACGCAACAACAUCCACAAUCCUUAAAUACUAAACACUACCCCCAAUUCAUAAAUAUGAAACUCUAAACCCUAAUUACUAAACUCUAAUUAUUAAACUCUAAACCCAAAUAUAAAUUAUAAACCCAAGUAUAAAUCCUAAACCCAAAUAGAAUGGAAGAAAAUACAUAGCAUAGUACAUAUUAGUGAAAUUAUGAAACAUAUAUGAUUUCAUGGAAUAAGUUAAUGUUGAUCCCAACCAUACCCCUCACCUACUAAAUACUAAAUCCAAAAUCCUAAUCACUAAACCAUAAACCCAAAUAUAAACCCUAAAACCAAAUAGAAUGGAACAAAAUACAUAGCAUAGUACAUAUAUAUUGGUGAAAUUAUAAAACAUAUAUGAUUGCAUGGAAUAAGUUAAUGUUGACCUCAACCAUACCCCUCACCUACUAAAUACUAAAACCAAAACCCUAAUCACUAAAC